Molecule: ribosomal RNA, 2922 nt
Filed under: Klebsiella aerogenes
Lineage: Bacteria; Pseudomonadati; Pseudomonadota; Gammaproteobacteria; Enterobacterales; Enterobacteriaceae
Description: 23S ribosomal RNA
Rfam family: Bacterial large subunit ribosomal RNA
Source: RNAcentral
GGGUUGUGAGGUUAAGCGACUAAGCGUACACGGUGGAUGCCCUGGCAGUCAGAGGCGAUGAAGGACGUGCUAAUCUGCGAAAAGCGUCGGUAAGGUGAUAUGAACCGUUACAGCCGGCGAUGUCCGAAUGGGGAAACCCAGUGUGAUUCGUCACACUAUCGUUAACUGAAUACAUAGGUUAACGAGGCGAACCGGGGGAACUGAAACAUCUAAGUACCCCGAGGAAAAGAAAUCAACCGAGAUUCCCCAGUAGCGGCGAGCGAACGGGGAGCAGCCCAGAGUCUGAAUCAGCUUGUGUGUUAGUGGAACGGUCUGGAAAGUCCGACGGUACAGGGUGAUAGUCCCGUACACCAAAAUGCACAGGCUGUGAACUCGAAGAGUAGGGCGGGACACGUGGUAUCCUGUCUGAAUAUGGGGGGACCAUCCUCCAAGGCUAAAUACUCCUGACUGACCGAUAGUGAACCAGUACCGUGAGGGAAAGGCGAAAAGAACCCCGGCGAGGGGAGUGAAAAAGAACCUGAAACCGUGUACGUACAAGCAGUGGGAGCACCUUCGGGUGUGACUGCGUACCUUUUGUAUAAUGGGUCAGCGACUUAUAUUCUGUAGCAAGGUUAACCGUAUAGGGGAGCCGCAGGGAAACCGAGUCUUAACUGGGCGUUAAGUUGCAGGGUAUAGACCCGAAACCCGGUGAUCUAGCCAUGGGCAGGUUGAAGGUUGGGUAACACUAACUGGAGGACCGAACCGACUAAUGUUGAAAAAUUAGCGGAUGACUUGUGGCUGGGGGUGAAAGGCCAAUCAAACCGGGAGAUAGCUGGUUCUCCCCGAAAGCUAUUUAGGUAGCGCCUCGUGAAUUCAUCUUCGGGGGUAGAGCACUGUUUCGGCUAGGGGGUCAUCCCGACUUACCAACCCGAUGCAAACUACGAAUACCGAAGAAUGUUAUCACGGGAGACACACGGCGGGUGCUAACGUCCGUCGUGAAGAGGGAAACAACCCAGACCGCCAGCUAAGGUCCCAAAGUCACAGUUAAGUGGGAAACGAUGUGGGAAGGCACAGACAGCCAGGAUGUUGGCUUAGAAGCAGCCAUCAUUUAAAGAAAGCGUAAUAGCUCACUGGUCGAGUCGGCCUGCGCGGAAGAUGUAACGGGGCUAAACUGUGCACCGAAGCUGCGGCAGCGACACUAUGUGUUGUUGGGUAGGGGAGCGUUCUGUAAGCCUGCGAAGGUGGCCUGUGAGGGUUGCUGGAGGUAUCAGAAGUGCGAAUGCUGACAUAAGUAACGAUAAUGCGGGUGAAAAGCCCGCACGCCGGAAGACCAAGGGUUCCUGUCCAACGUUAAUCGGGGCAGGGUGAGUCGACCCCUAAGGCGAGGCCGAAAGGCGUAGUCGAUGGGAAACAGGUUAAUAUUCCUGUACUUGGUGUUACUGCGAAGGGGGACGGAGAAGGCUAUGUUAGCCGGGCGACGGUUGUCCCGGUUUAAGCAUGUAGGCGGAGGUUCCAGGUAAAUCCGGUACCUUUUUAACGCUGAGGUGUGAUGACGAGGCACUACGGUGCUGAAGUAACAAAUGCCCUGCUUCCAGGAAAAGCCUCUAAGCAUCAGGUAACAUUAAAUCGUACCCCAAACCGACACAGGUGGUCAGGUAGAGAAUACCAAGGCGCUUGAGAGAACUCGGGUGAAGGAACUAGGCAAAAUGGUGCCGUAACUUCGGGAGAAGGCACGCUGAUAUGUAGGUGAAGCCCCUGCGGGUGGAGCUGAAAUCAGUCGAAGAUACCAGCUGGCUGCAACUGUUUAUUAAAAACACAGCACUGUGCAAACACGAAAGUGGACGUAUACGGUGUGACGCCUGCCCGGUGCCGGAAGGUUAAUUGAUGGGGUUAUCCGUAAGGAGAAGCUCUUGAUCGAAGCCCCGGUAAACGGCGGCCGUAACUAUAACGGUCCUAAGGUAGCGAAAUUCCUUGUCGGGUAAGUUCCGACCUGCACGAAUGGCGUAAUGAUGGCCAGGCUGUCUCCACCCGAGACUCAGUGAAAUUGAACUCGCUGUGAAGAUGCAGUGUACCCGCGGCAAGACGGAAAGACCCCGUGAACCUUUACUAUAGCUUGACACUGAACAUUGAGCCUUGAUGUGUAGGAUAGGUGGGAGGCUUUGAAGCGUGGACGCCAGUCUGCGUGGAGCCAACCUUGAAAUACCACCCUUUAAUGUUUGAUGUUCUAACGUUGGCCCCUUAUCGGGGUUGCGGACAGUGUCUGGUGGGUAGUUUGACUGGGGCGGUCUCCUCCCAAAGAGUAACGGAGGAGCACGAAGGUUAGCUAAUCCUGGUCGGACAUCAGGAGGUUAGUGCAAUGGCAUAAGCUAGCUUGACUGCGAGCGUGACGGCGCGAGCAGGUGCGAAAGCAGGUCAUAGUGAUCCGGUGGUUCUGAAUGGAAGGGCCAUCGCUCAACGGAUAAAAGGUACUCCGGGAUAACAGGCUGAUACCGCCCAAGAGUUCAUAUCGACGGCGGUGUUUGGCACCUCGAUGUCGGCUCAUCACAUCCUGGGGCUGAAGUAGGUCCCAAGGGUAUGGCUGUUCGCCAUUUAAAGUGGUACGCGAGCUGGGUUUAGAACGUCGUGAGACAGUUCGGUCCCUAUCUGCCGUGGGCGCUGGAGAAUUGAGGGGGCUGCUCCUAGUACGAGAGGACCGGAGUGGACGCAUCACUGGUGUUCGGGUUGUCAUGCCAAUGGCAUUGCCCGGUAGCUAAAUGCGGAAGAGAUAAGUGCUGAAAGCAUCUAAGCACGAAACUUGCCCCGAGAUGAGUUCUCCCUGACUCCUUGAGAGUCCUGAAGGAACGUUAAAGACGAUGACGUUGAUAGGUCGGGUGUGUAAGCGUAGCGAUACGUUGAGCUAACCGAUACUAAUGAACCGUGAGGCUUAACCUUACAACGCCGAAG